Molecule: ribosomal RNA, 253 nt
Filed under: uncultured bacterium
Lineage: Bacteria
Description: partial 16S ribosomal RNA
Rfam family: Bacterial small subunit ribosomal RNA
Source: RNAcentral
UACAGAGGGGGCGAGCGUUGUUCGGAAUUACUGGGCGUAAAGGGCGCGUAGGCGGCCUUCUAAGUCGAACGUGAAAUCCCCGGGCUCAACCCGGGAACUGCGUCCGAUACUGGGAGGCUUGAAUCCGGGAGAGGGAUGUGGAAUUCCAGGUGUAGCGGUGAAAUGCGUAGAUAUCUGGAGGAACACCGGUGGCGAAGGCGGCAUCCUGGACCAACACUGACGCUGAGGAGCGAAAGCCAGGGGAGCAAACGGG